RNAcentral lists this long non-coding RNA (407 nucleotides) under Olea europaea subsp. europaea. Lineage: Eukaryota; Viridiplantae; Streptophyta; Magnoliopsida; Lamiales; Oleaceae. The record is from RNAcentral.
AUUAAUACUUGCGAUGUACACUUAACAAUCACCUUUCAAGUGUCAUGUGAUUAUUGAGACUUUAUAACAUAUUAGACGAAGAGGUUCUUCCGAAUAUGGAAUGCAAGAGCAAAAGUGGAAAUCCCAGUAUUGUAAGAGAAGGGCCAGCUCAUCCAAGCGGAGCUAAGAGGUGGUGCAUUUCUAGGUCGCUGAGGAACAAAGUCUACUCCCCGAGUAGUUUACUUGAAUUGCCUCGUGGAUGUAGGGAUGUGAUUUGUUGUAACGGUAUCUUAGAAAAGAAAGUGAUUUAGUUGUACUCUAGUUUCAAAAUCAAGCCUUGUGGAGUGUUGAGUCGAGUAGUAAUUGAUCUUAUACAUUUGUUUUUAAUGUAAUGUAAAUUCAGACUUAUCGUAGUCUUUUGAAGAGGU